Molecule: ribosomal RNA, 440 nt
Filed under: uncultured bacterium
Lineage: Bacteria
Description: partial 16S ribosomal RNA
Rfam family: Bacterial small subunit ribosomal RNA
Source: RNAcentral
CCUACGGGUGGCAGCAGUGGGGAAUAUUGCUCAAUGGGGGAAACCCUGAAGCAGCGACGCCGCGUGAAGGAUGAAGGUUUUAGGGAUGUAAAACCCUUUUUAUAGAGGAGAAAAUGAAGGUACCUGACCCAUAAGCACCGGCUAAAACCGUGCCAGCAGCCGCGGUACUACGGAGGGUGCAAGCGUUAUCCGGAUUCACUGGGUGUAAGGGGAGCGCAGGCGGGUUGGUAAGUCAGGUGGGAAAUGCUGUGGCUUAACCGCAGAACUGCAAUUGAAACUGUGAGUCUAGAGUGUGGGUGAGGUAGGUGGAAUUCUUGGUGUAGCGGUGAAAUGCGUAGAUAUCAAGAGGAACACCCAUUGCGAAGGCGGCUUACUGGACUGUAACUGACGUUGAUGCACGAAAGCGUGGGGAGCAAACAGGAUUAGAUACCCGAGUAGUC